CCGGAGCUUGCUCCACCGGAAAAAGAAGAGUGGCGAACGGGUGAGUAACACGUGGGUAACCUGCCCAUCAGAAGGGGAUAACACUUGGAAACAGGUGCUAAUACCGUAUAACAAUCGAAACCGCAUGGUUUUGAUUUGAAAGGCGCUUUCGGGUGUCGCUGAUGGAUGGACCCGCGGUGCAUUAGCUAGUUGGUGAGGUAACGGCUCACCAAGGCCACGAUGCAUAGCCGACCUGAGAGGGUGAUCGGCCACAUUGGGACUGAGACACGGCCCAAACUCCUACGGGAGGCAGCAGUAGGGAAUCUUCGGCAAUGGACGAAAGUCUGACCGAGCAACGCCGCGUGAGUGAAGAAGGUUUUCGGAUCGUAAAACUCUGUUGUUAGAGAAGAACAAGGAUGAGAGUAACUGUUCAUCCCUUGACGGUAUCUAACCAGAAAGCCACGGCUAACUACGUGCCAGCAGCCGCGGUAAUACGUAGGUGGCAAGCGUUGUCCGGAUUUAUUGGGCGUAAAGCGAGCGCAGGCGGUUUCUUAAGUCUGAUGUGAAAGCCCCCGGCUCAACCGGGGAGGGUCAUUGGAAACUGGGAGACUUGAGUGCAGAAGAGGAGAGUGGAAUUCCAUGUGUAGCGGUGAAAUGCGUAGAUAUAUGGAGGAACACCAGUGGCGAAGGCGGCUCUCUGGUCUGUAACUGACGCUGAGGCUCGAAAGCGUGGGGAGCAAACAGGAUUAGAUACCCUGGUAGUCCACGCCGUAAACGAUGAGUGCUAAGUGUUGGAGGGUUUCCGCCCUUCAGUGCUGCAGCUAACGCAUUAAGCACUCCGCCUGGGGAGUACGACCGCAAGGUUGAAACUCAAAGGAA
This 858-nucleotide ribosomal RNA is filed under the name uncultured bacterium. RNAcentral describes it as "bacterial SSU rRNA". It matches the Rfam family "Bacterial small subunit ribosomal RNA", at positions 73 to 909 of the family's 1533-position model. The record is from RNAcentral.